CCUACGGGAGGCAGCAGUGAGGAAUAUUGGUCAAUGGGCUUACGCCUGAACCAGCCAAGUCGCGUGAGGGAAGACUGCCCUAUGGUUUGUAAACCUCUUUUGUCAGGGAGCAACGCCGGCUACGUGUAGCCGGACUGAGAGUACCUGACGAAAAAGCAUCCGCUAACUCGGUGCCAGCAGCCGCGGUAAUACGGAGGAUGCGUGCGUUAUCCGGAUUGAUUGGGUUUAAAGGGUGCGUAGGCGGAAUGCCAAGUCAGCGGUAAAAUCGCGGGGCUCAACCUCGCUCCGCCGUUGAAACUGGCGUUCUUGAGUGGGCGAGAAGUAUGCGGAAUGCGUGGUGUAGCGGUGAAAUGCAUAGAGAUCACGCAGAACUCCGAUUGCGAAGGCAGCAUACCGGCGCACAACUGACGCUGUAGCACGAAAGCGUGGGUAUCGAACAGGAUUAGAUACCCUUGUAGUC
RNAcentral lists this ribosomal RNA (460 nucleotides) under uncultured bacterium. Its description in RNAcentral is "partial 16S ribosomal RNA". It matches the Rfam family "Bacterial small subunit ribosomal RNA", at positions 338 to 795 of the family's 1533-position model. The record is from RNAcentral.